CAUGCAGUCGAGGGGCAUCAGUUUGGUUUGCUUGCAAACCAAAGCUGGCGACCGGCGCACGGGUGAGUAACACGUAUCCAACCUGCCUCAUACUCGGGGAUAGCCUUUCGAAAGAAAGAUUAAUAUCCGAUAGCAUAUAUUUCCCGCAUGGGUUUUAUAUUAAAGAAAUUCGGUAUGAGAUGGGGAUGCGUUCCAUUAGUUUGUUGGCGGGGUAACGGCCCACCAAGACUACGAUGGAUAGGGGUUCUGAGAGGAAGGUCCCCCACAUUGGAACUGAGACACGGUCCAAACUCCUACGGGAGGCAGCAGUGAGGAAUAUUGGUCAAUGGACGCGAGUCUGAACCAGCCAAGUAGCGUGAAGGAUGACUGCCCUAUGGGUUGUAAACUUCUUUUAUAUGGGAACAAAGUGGUCCACGUGUGGAUUUUUGUAUGUACCAUAUGAAUAAGGAUCGGCUAACUCCGUGCCAGCAGCCGCGGUAAUACGGAGGAUCCGAGCGUUAUCCGGAUUUAUUGGGUUUAAAGGGAGCGUAGGCGGAUUGUUAAGUCAGUUGUGAAAGUUUGCGGCUCAACCGUAAAAUUGCAGUUGAUACUGGCAGUCUUGAGUGCAGUAGAGGUGGGCGGAAUUCGUGGUGUAGCGGUGAAAUGCUUAGAUAUCACGAAGAACUCCGAUUGCGAAGGCAGCUCACUGGAGUGUAACUGACGCUG
RNAcentral lists this ribosomal RNA (705 nucleotides) under uncultured bacterium. RNAcentral's name for it is "bacterial SSU rRNA". It matches the Rfam family "Bacterial small subunit ribosomal RNA", at positions 54 to 748 of the family's 1533-position model. The record is from RNAcentral.